RNAcentral lists this ribosomal RNA (232 nucleotides) under uncultured bacterium. RNAcentral's name for it is "partial 16S ribosomal RNA". It matches the Rfam family "Bacterial small subunit ribosomal RNA", at positions 102 to 334 of the family's 1533-position model. The record is from RNAcentral.
ACGGGUGAGUAACACGUAUCCAACCUGCCGUCUACUCUUGGACAGCCUUCUGAAAGGAAGAUUAAUACAAGAUGGCAUCAUGAGUCCGCAUGUUCGCAUGAUUAAAGGUAUUCCGGUAGACGAUGGGGAUGCGUUCCAUUAGAUAGUAGGCGGGGUAACGGCCCACCUAGUCUUCGAUGGAUAGGGGUUCUGAGAGGAAGGUCCCCCACAUUGGAACUGAGACACGGUCCAA